AAAGCAAUGAUGAAGAGAAGAGUAGAUUUUAUUAACUCUUAAAGCGAGCUGUGGAUAGUGAAAGCACAGCAGAUAAAGUAUUAUUGAAAGACAUCUCUGAGUUGUUUAUCUGAAAAUCUAUAUGAUUAGUAGGAUAAGACGGAUUUCUACCGUUAAAAGGAAUGAGUGAACCUAUUAUAUGGUUAAACAGGAUGGUACCGUGGGAUUUAACUCUCACUCCUAUA
This 224-nucleotide non-coding RNA is filed under the name Clostridiales bacterium. Its description in RNAcentral is "T-box sequence". It matches the Rfam family "T-box leader". From Rfam's summary of the family: Uncharged tRNA acts as the effector for transcription antitermination of genes in the T-box leader family. The record is from RNAcentral. Lineage: Bacteria; Bacillati; Bacillota; Clostridia; Eubacteriales.